ACACUCCUGCGGGAGGCAGCAGUGGGGAAUUUUGGACAAUGGGCGAAAGCCUGAUCCAGCCAUGCCGCGUGCAGGAUGAAGGCCUUCGGGUUGUAAACUGCUUUUGUACGGAACGAAACGGCCUUUUCUAAUAAAGAGGGCUAAUGACGGUACCGUAAGAAUAAGCACCGGCUAACUACGUGCCAGCAGCCGCGGUAAUACGUAGGGUGCAAGCGUUAAUCGGAAUUACUGGGCGUAAAGCGUGCGCAGGCGGUUAUGUAAGACAGUUGUGAAAUCCCCGGGCUCAACCUGGGAACUGCAUCUGUGACUGCAUAGCUAGAGUACGGUAGAGGGGGAUGGAAUUCCGCGUGUAGCAGUGAAAUGCGUAGAUAUGCGGAGGAACACCGAUGGCGAAGGCAAUCCCCUGGACCUGUACUGACGCUCAUGCACGAAAGCGUGGGGAGCAAACAGGAUUAGAAACCCUGGUAGUCCCAU
RNAcentral lists this ribosomal RNA (474 nucleotides) under uncultured organism. RNAcentral describes it as "partial 16S ribosomal RNA". It matches the Rfam family "Bacterial small subunit ribosomal RNA", at positions 333 to 798 of the family's 1533-position model. The record is from RNAcentral.